ACCAAAAAUUGGGCAGAGCGGCACCGGAAGUUGCUUCUACGCAUGUCUGGACAUGCAUAGAAGCGAUUUCCGGUGCUGCGCCACUGCUGAUCCCGCAUUUUUCAGCGGGAGACUUGGCAUCUAUGGUGUAACUUUGUACCAAGUUUCCUCUUUCCCUCCCCUUCCCCUGUUGGUUGUCAUGGAAAUGUGCCAGUCUGUGUUUUUCUCAGAUGAAUUCAAUAGAAAGGGUGGCUAAGCGGGGAUGUGGGUCUUGUUUCAGCUGCAGCAUUUAUGCUCAAUCAGAACAGAGGUCUCAGUGCCGCUACAACACCAGGGUGUCUGUGAAGGAAGAAUAGUUACCAGUUUGGGGUUUCUUUUGUUACAUGCACCAAGGUCUUCAGGAUGAGGCCAAAAAACAUACUACAGUAUCUCCAUUUCACUUGUUGCGGCUGGAAAAUUGUUGUGUGUGUGUGUGUUUACCAUCCUGAUAAUGAGCACACGAAGAGGUUGAAGGAUGCUACAGGAUCCAUAUUAUAGCAAUCCUGAGUAUGCAACGCAGAAUGUUUGAAACAAUCUAUAUCCAGGCUGAAUUGAACAGACUUGUGGGUGGGGGCAGACCUUAAGAGACCUGUCUGAGCCUGUGGCAAAUGAGGCCAUUAGAAGUGAUGCUCUGGGAGGUUCUUGUUGAUGAAGCUGCUUUUAAGACUUCCACCUAGGUCUGUUUUGAAUGCUGCUAAGCCCUAGCAUUAAACACAUCUGUGCUGGCUUUGCUGUUGAUCUGAGUUUUUACUUGUUUCUUUUGCCUUGAGUGCACUGUUAGGAAAUUUCACUGGAAGCCGAACUCUUUGGUGUGGGAGGUUGUAGCAAGGAAGGAGAUGUGCUCUGAGAACUCCAGUUUAUUUUAUUAUUUUUGCCUGUCCAAUGUGUUUGGAAACUGCUCUGGGUAGUUCGGUUGCAUGCAGAGAAGACGCAUUUCCUCAUAGUGGAUGGCUGGGGUGGAAGAAUUUAGAAUUGGUCAUUGAGGAAUUCCUCAAAUAAAUGUUUGGGGAAAGGUUAGAAGCCAGACAGUGACCGGAGGAAGAAUAUUAAACAUUUGCUUAUCUGUUGGCAGUUUUCUCCGCUGCAAAAAGGAGAGCUGGAGACAUGGCCAGUGUAACUGGAAAUCUCCACUGUGCGGACAAAACAUUCCCCCAAAUAGAAGAGAGUGGUUCAACGUACACAUCAUGAGCCCCACAGAGAAAAGUGAUGGUGACAGACGUGGUUUUUGUCAUUGGCCUAGGGCUAUGCCCACUUCAUUAUCACCUGCAGGUGUGCCAUGGCCACUUGAUCAAUAUGCCUUUAUUGUCCCUUGUUUUGUUAUCACUAUAGUGCUGCUUGCAAAUCUAUAUCUCAAAUGUGCACACCUACUAAUAUUACUCUUAUAGAACUCAUCAAGGAAGAGGAUGGAGACAAAACUAGAAUUAGCAUUUUUAUUAUUGGUUUGGUGUUUUGGACUAUAUGCCUCCUCCAGUUUCUUUGAAAGAUAGGCAGGGCAUAAAUUUGUGAAACAAAAAUAAGUGUGUUAUUAAGUUGUAUUACAUUGAGUGUCACACUUUUUUUUGUCUCUCUUAAUGUUUUGGGCCUCCUUUGUAGGAAAGGCCUAUGAACAACAAUACUCACAGUCCUCCUGAAUGUUGUUUCAUAUGACUACAUGUGAUUCUCAGGAAAUGAGGGCUGUGGCUUACAUUUUAAUGUAAUAGUUCCUUUUCUGAUCUAAUAAUUCAUUUUCUAAUGUUUGUAUAUAACUAUGCUGGUGGCCUGCUCUUACUUCCAUAUGUGUGUGUUUCUGUGUGCAUAUUUUUUGUAAGAAAUGGAAAAUACCUCACGUCUGUUGGCCUUUGAUAGCACAGUUACUCCUUGGUGUUUGUAGCAUGAGAUGGAGAAGCGAACCCCACUUUUCCCUGUCCAAACAAACUGCCGUGGUAAAUAGUAAUGUAGUCAAUAAUAGCCAUUUGACUUCUCUUGAACAACACUGUGCAAAACUUGACUGUUCUAUAAGUUGUAAUUUCAGUUGGUCAGCAUUUUUAGGUCACAUCCAGACUGUCAUCAUUUUGUGGGACGUAUUCUGGCUCAUACCAGAAAUGUAGGUUUGUGCAGUUAAAGUGCUUUAAAGCACUCAAAUCAACUAAAAAUGACAACACCUGGGCUUUUGCAGUUAAGAAAGUGAUGGGGAAAUGCACUCAAAAGUGUGGGAUGAAUGAAUGAUUAGUGGGAAGGUGUAUAAACAUCCCACAACCAAAUCCGGAUGGAUGUUCAUUGCCAUAUAACUUUUCCCCAAACAAAUCAGAAUAAAUGCUUAGUUAAGACAGGACUGAUGCUCAAGAAAUGGGUCAUCUGGGGGAGUCCCAGUCAUUAUUUGGGAAGUGUAGAGAGGAGAAGUAAAAUGUUGCUAAACUGUGUUGGAGCCUUGAGUGUAGUGCUCUGUGAGAAAAAUAGCGCUUGGCUUUAAAGGCCGAAAUUAAUUGGAAAGGGAACAGGUUCAGUGUAAGAUCAUCUACAUAGCUCCCUCUACAGAGUAGUUGUCAUGCCAUUGUUCUUGGUUUAUAAAUUGAGUGUGUUUUCACAAGAGUCUUCUGGUUGGUCAUCUGAGGGGUGUGUGUGUGUGUGUGUGUGUGUGUGUGUGUGUGUGUGUGUGUUGGGGAGGGGAGGGAAGGGGUAGAGUUAAAAAAGGUUAGUGCGAAAUGCAGCCUGGGCAUUCCAGCUGUUUGAAAUAAAAGCAAGAAACAUCCUCACUUGAAGCAAGAGUAUUCUGAAGAACUCUCUGAUUCUGACUUUUCCAAAUGCUAUCCAGAUGUCUCCUCUUGCUAGAUCUUCCUUUGGCCAAAGUGUAAUUUGGUUUUGAACUCUGUCCAGUUGGUAUUGCAAGUCCUGAAAUAAAGUAAAUCAGCAAGUUGUUCUUGGACGCCUUCCCCUAAUCCAGAGCAACCCAAAUCAAACUUUUGGUCUAACCUCAGGCCUGCAUGUUCAAAUAGUUUCCUUUGCCUCAAAAGCAGCAAAUGGCCGGAGAUAGCCACUUUGUGGUAUUUAAACAGACGGCUUGUGCAAUAGCCAAUGCAGCUCAAGCAAUUGCAUCCCUUGGGGCAGCAGUUCACAGCAGGCAAAACAUUCCUGGGGAAGAGGGGAUGGCGUCCAUAUGAAACUCAGGAUUCCCCAUCAUUGUUUGCUGUCGCCAGCUGCCUACUGACCUAACAAGCACAGCCGUGGAGAGUAUUGUUGCAUUUGUCUUGACUCCUGAACCUGGAUAAGAGUGGAGAUUCUGCCUGACAGUGUGCUGCUCACCCUAAACCUUUAGCACAGUAAUAUGGCAAUAAAAUAGUGGAGGCUUGUCCAUUAGGGCGAUUGGGGCACUGUCCAGGCAACUACCUGUCCUUAGCCAAUCUCCACCUGCCUGCCUUCUAACUUAUAACCAAUCCGGGGGACUGCAGUGGCAGUCAGGCUCCACCCCCUUAGUCUCAUUCUUGGCAUUUGUAGAACUCAAAAGGGAUGAGGAUUGGGGGAAACUAGAAUUAGUUUUGCCUGUCACUGCGUCUGAUUUCGCCUGUCAUUGGCUCUGGCUCCACCUACUGUUGGCCUCCUUGCCUUCCACCCUACCAGUCACAGAGGACACCAGCCACCACUGACAGUGGAGACCUACCUCUCCCUUUACCCUCAGUGUUGAAGGAGUAAAUCAUGGCAAGACCUGUUGGUGGUGCCACACACUCCUGAGGUAAAAGACUUGGGCCUGUGCUUUAAGCAUUGUGGGGCCAGUUCUCUGGAAUUCUCUCCACUUAGAAGUGAAGCAAGUCCCUACAUUCAUCAUGUUUUUCCAUGCUGGCUGAAAACUUUUCAUUUCUCCCAAACUUUUCCAACACAUUUUAUCUUCACAGUUUUUACUUUUUAAAAAUGUCUUAACAGUAUCAAUGGUUGGCAUGUUCUGCAUUAUGUUUUGUUUCCAUACUCCCAUUUUUUCCAGCUCUAGGUUUUAUGCUUUAGUUUUACUGUAUUCUGUAUAUUUGUAUUUUGUUGUUGUUGUUUUUUAUUGGAGAUUGUAAGCUGCUUUGUGGAAGAGGGUUCUCAAAAAGCAGUGUAUAUUUUUUGAAAAGAAAAAUAAUAAAGAAAGGAAAGCACGCGUUUGGGCUGGCUACCAUACGUUGCCACUUCUGCAGCACUUCUGACAUACCCACGCUGUUGACUUAGCGGGGAGUAAACAGCGCUGGCAGCAUGAACAAUGUAGAAGUGAUUGAAGCACUUUAUUGCAGGAAACUCCUCUUGUACCCAUGGAUACAAGUCUUGCCACUGCUUUGCCAGAACCAGGAAUCAGUGAAGCAACCGCCUGUUCUUGCCAAGUGUGCCAUUUUGGAUUUCAUUCUAUGUGUGUGAGAUCCAGCAAAGUCCAGAUACUCCUGUGCCAACAUUAUGCAAAAAAAAAAGGGGUGGGUGGGGAAGGAUCAUGUUCUGUGCAGCUCAUGUGUCAUUAUGAUUUUUUUCUUGUAAAUGUCAAGGUAAACAGCAUUCAGAUUUUCAUCCCAUCUCUGCAUUGCAUGGUGUGUGUGUGUGUGGCAGAGCGGUUCAGGCUAUGAUAAUCACCUACCCUCCCUAGGAAGUGUAAAUGGGUUAUACAGUGGUGCCUCGCUAGACGAAUUUAAUUCGUUCCACGGGUCUUUUCUUAUAACGAAAAAUUCGUCUAGCGAAUGCCAUAGGAAUGCAUUGAAUUUUUUUUUGCCCAUAGGAACACAUUAAUUGAAUUUCAAUGCAUUCCUAUGGGAAACCACGAUUCGCUAGAUGAAUUUUUCAUAAAAUGAAUUCGUCUAGCGAGGCAACCUCCAUUAAAAAAAACCUUUCGUUAAGCGGAAAUUUCGUUAAGCAGGGAAUUCGUUAAGCGAGGCACCACUGCAUCCAAUAAUAGGGUAGACCCAUUGAAAUUAAUGGGCAUGAUUAACGUUAGUGGGUUUACUCUGAGUAAAACUUGUUCUUCCCUAAAGCCGUAUGUUCUAUGCAUGAGGAAAUGGUCUCUUGUUCCUCCCAGUUACAGAUAUGCUUGGUCUUAGCUGGGAAUGGAAUCUUUCCACGCAAGCAUACUGGCUAGCAGGGUGUGUGACAACAGCCCAGCGACAGCUAUGGAACCCAUUAUGCAGUAACAAGGAUGUUGAUAAACUGAAUCAUUUACACAAAAAACUCCCAACAACCCAUAAAAUGCUUGGGAAACAGAUGAUGUGAGAGCCCAAGGCCCUUCCUGUAAUUCUUUCAUCACUUUUCCGGUUUGCAUGCAUCUGUUCUUUCCUGUGAUGCCUUUCCCCUUGCCCCAGAAUUUCUGCAGAACCCACGUGCAAAUCUGUUCUCUGGAUGCUGUUAACAUAUAAGCAUAGGAGUCUGUUGGCGCAGGUCAAGGGGAUCAGUUUUAACUGGUGGUGCUGAGAAUGAAGGGCACAGUUUUAAUUUUUGACAGUAUUUUAUUCUGGCAUACUACUGUGUUAGAGAGUGCAAAGAAGGGGAGAACAUUUAAAAAGGACCUUUCUUUCUCAUAAUGUGGCAGCUUUUGUUUGUAAAUUUUGCGCUUCCUUCAGUAUAUCAGAAAGGCACCCAUGUUGAGGUUUUAAAGACCAACAGUUUUAUGAUGUUGCCCAGCAAAGCUUAUGGUAUAAUAAGUUUGUUAGUCUUGUAAAGUGCCACAAGAUUCUUUGUUGUUUAAUUUGAAUAAUUGUUGGCCUUUUAACUGAUUGAUCAACUGAGUAAAAGAAUUCUUCCAUAGGUUGAGGGUUGUAAUUUCAAUGUUUCUGUCAGGUUACAGAUUACAAUAUUUUGGAGAGUUCCUGCUGGUUUUUUUUUUUUUUAGGCUUUGGCUUUGGCCAACCAUAGGAAGCUCAAUAUACCUUUGCAUAUUAGUAGUGUGAUAAACAUAUUUUGAGGUUUGGGUUUAAUUUCUCCGUUUUGCAGCCAAGCCUCUAGGAAGCUUCACUGGCAGUAGGAUUUUUAUUUGAAAAUGUGAAUGUGGGAAAACGGAUAGCAUGUCCGCUUAAUGCCAAACACACAACAGGUUCCUCUUUCAGGUCCCUUAAGUAGUAGGAGGAAUGUGUUUCUUCUGCACCCCGUCAUGGCCAUGAUAGUAAACUGUAGCAACAAAUACUUUAGGGCUUGAUCUAAGCCAUGACGUACUAAGGACUAAAUCAUGGAACCUGUUGUGGAUUAUUAUGCAUGUGAAAACACAGGUGGUGUUUCACAGGCCUGUCAUUCUGGAUCUUGAGUUCAUUGAAAUGCACAGAAGACUUUUGCAGCAGCAAAAUACAAUAUCUAGAUAAUGGAAAGUUAUAAUAAUAGUUCUCUAUUCAGCCUUGGCCAGACCCCCACCUGGAUGGAGUCUUGCAUCCCGUUCUGAGCACCACAGUAAGGAAGGAUAUUGACUAGCUGGAACAUGUGCAGAGAAGGGCGACCAAGAUGAUAAAGGGCCUGGAAACCAAGCCUUAUGAGGAAUGGUUGAGGGAAUGGGAUAUAUUUCACCUGGAGAAGAGGAGACACCAGAGAAAUCCUUUGUGGGUGCCAUGGUACAUAUGGGUGCCAGGUUGGUGACCCCAGUUCUGAUCAUCUAGGAGGUAGGGGAACCUCAGACCUGGGGGUCUGAAUGUGACCCUCGAGAUCUCUCAAUCAAGCCCUAAGGACUCCCUGGGCCACAGCCCCUCACCAGCUCUGUGCCUUUCUCAAGUACUUGCCUGCUUGCAAUGUGCCCUUGUGCUGCAAUACUGCCUCUUAUUUGUCUGGAUAGAGGUGUGUGUGUGUGGAAUGUAGCCUGCUGUACAGAGGUUAGAGCAACAGCCUGACCUCAUCUGCCACUGGCAUGUGGCCCUUGGAAGGCUACCCAUGGAGGAAUGUGGCCCCUGGACUGAAAAUAGGCUGCUCACACCUGAUCUAUAUCUGGUAUGCAACUGAGCAGGAACAUUUUUCAUGAGUCCGCAUGAAGGAUGAGGUUGAGGAAUGUGGGUGGUUCAAGGAAAGCCCAGCCUGGGUUCCUUAGCCAUAGUCCCAGACUGUUCCUUUUGAGGUGUGUUGCGAAACACAAGGAGUGGCAAUGCAUUUCAGAGUUCCAUCAUCUUUUACAUUGUUUUGUUCAUUGAAAAUGAUUUUUUUUGCAAGAGGCAAGGCAUCGCUGAAACUGAUGUUCUGUUUUAUGAGGUGCAUAGUUCGAAGUUCUGGCAUAUGUCUAUAAAUGACGAUUACUUAGAGGUUCUUCAGCUUGCUCUCAUUAACAGAAAAAGUGUGUUUCUGAAGAAAUCCCGCAUUUCUUUGCUGCAGACAUUAAUAUAGAAUAGAGGCAGGAGGAAAAUAGGUCAGUAUCAAUGAAGAUUUAAUAUUGUUUUACCUCUUUGACGUGCAAGAAUAUGGCAUUAUCAACUUUAGCCUCAUUAUUUGAUCUGUAACUUUUAUUGCCUGUUGCAGGAAGUCUAAAACACUGCUGCAAAUGUGAGUGAUUCAUAACAUCCACCGUCUCCCCGUGCAAUUGCUGUGGGUGCCCGUCCUGCAUUAAAUCCCCCUGUGUGCUCCAUUUUAAUCAACUGCCUCCUCUUGUUUAUGUGUGUCUGCCACACAGCAUUAUGGGAGCAACAAAGAUCUGAGAAAGAGAAGAAGGGCAGGCCCCAGCCGAGCCUUCUCCUGUGCCUUCCAUUUUAUAUACCAUUGUUUUAAGGGAUUAUCACCUGUUCUAGGUCAUAGCCCUUAUGAUUCUCAUGCAAGUGGCUUUUUAAAUAGGAACUUUUGAGCUCUGCCAAAAUCCCUGGAACAUCAUUUGGUCCCUACAUUUUUUUUUGCUCUGAAUUAUUCACCUAGCCUUUUAUAUGUUUCCCAAAUUGAAAUCCUGCUAUUUAUUACUUUCUCAUAUAUGUCUGCAAAAGGGGGUGGCUUUUUCCCCCUUUAUUUUUUAACAUAUAUAAUUUUAGCUUGAUUGUUUUGAAUGUGAUACAUUUUAACAUUGCAUGACUGCAAAGCUAAAUAAACCCAUACAUUAUCUGGAAGUAUGCCUGUGACUUGGAAAUAAUGUUUGCAGCUCUGCAGUUCUGCUGCGUUACAAUUCCGGGGUCACCAACAUGACACCCAUGGUUGUCAGAGUUCUCAUCAAUACUUUACAUGGAACUCAUGAUAGGUCUCAGUAAGUAUCCCCUCAACAAACCACAAUUGCACCAAAUACUAUACAGUGGUCCCUCGACUUACGAAGUACUCAACUUACGAAAUUUCGAGUUACGAAUGAAAAAAAAAUGGCCACACGCUUACAUUUUUUUUGACAUCCGAAAGGAAAACCAUUGCGGUUUAGAUGCGGUUUACUUGACUUACGAAUUUUAGAUGCGGUUUACUUGACUUAUGAAUUUUAGAUGCGGUUUACUUGACUUACGAAUGUUUCUGUUUCCAAUGCAUUCCUAUGGGAAACCACUUUUUUCAACUUACAAAUUUUCCGACCUCCGAAUGUGCAUUCGGAACAGAUUAAAUUCGUAAGUCGAGGGACCACUGUAUGCUGUUCCUGCCCAGUUCUGUUUGCACUUGCUUGGUCUCUUGCAUUAAACAAACACAAAUAAUUAUGCCCCCCAUGUAACUGGGUGUCAGGAUUGGACAUGUACUUUUCAUUCUAUUUUGAACAGAAAUGAGAUGCAAAUAACCUCUCUCGGAGCACAGGAGGCACCUUUUACUUAAUGAUGGAUGGGGGCAUGGCUACACCAUUUUGUCCUGUCUUUUUUUCACGUGGCAGCCGUUUUGUGACUGGUGUUUACAACAGUUUCUCAAAAUUCCAAAUUGUAGAGUUGGAAGGGGCCCUGGGCCAGGACCCAGGGCCAACCCCCUGCAAUGGAGGAAUCUCAACUAAAGCAUACAUGACAGAUGGCCAUCCAACCUCUGCUGAGAAACCUCCAAGGAACAAUAGUGCACCACUUCCCAAGGGAGUCCAUUCCACUGUCAAAUAGCUUGGUGACCUUACCUGAUUUAGAUCUUACCUCACUGUAGGACAAAGUACCGUUGUUUGCUGCCUCUCGGCAAGGCUGCCUGCCAUUGUUGUCGGACACGCUUGGGCAGUGGACCCAUGUGAUGCCUGGCCUAGGUCUGCGAACUGUCACUUAAUAAUUUCCCACAAUGCCCCUGAUAUAGCAUUGCUGCAGGGCAUUGUGAGAAAUAUAUAAUGGUAGCUUGUAGAUGGACACUGAUGCCAAGUCAGCCCCAUGGUUAGGGGACCAGCAAAGAGCACUUUUUGUUAAGAGCAUCUCUCUAAUAUUGAGAUGGUUCUGGGCACCUGCAAAGUUUAGGUUCCAUGCCAUAAAGCUCCAUAACAUGGCGAAACUCGGUACCAGUUUGAAUGAGUCAAAAAACAUAUAAGUUCUAAACUCUGGAGCAUCAAACAAAGGUCAGUAGGACUGGAUGCAGUCAAAGCCAGGCAGGGGUUGAGAUUCAAAGCAGCAAUUGGCUGCCUUGACGGAUCCACUUCAGAAAACUGAACCACAUGGUCUUAAUGCUAUAAGCAGGGGCUUAUCAGCCUAACUUUUAAAAAACAGGCGUGUUCCCCUGUGCCAGCUACUAUAGUACUUCUGUUUCAACCCCCUCACCCCCACCCCAAAUCAAAACCAGUUGUUUAGUGGAAUUCCAUGGGGGAUGAUGAUAACUCUUCAGCUUAGUGGAUUUGGAGAAUGACACUGUUGUUUUGAGACUAAGGAAAGUCCUAACAGUGUGCGAGUUGAAGCAAUUCGACAACAAAAGAAGAAGGAAAAAAAGAGGAACCUAGAAGGAAUGACGCACAUACAGCAAUUAUCCUUCCCAAUUCCUGGUGUGUUCUGGCUCUUGGGUUAUUUGAAUGCUGUAAGAAGCUUUUCGUGUAGAGAAUGUCCCAUUUUUUCUAUUGCCUUUGUGGGUGGCACUGCCUUGCAAAGCCUUCUCAGCCAAGGUUGAGAAAUACGUUUGGGGAGAAGUCUUCCCACCACCUUGGACUCUGAGGGCAUGUGCUCGUGUUUGCUGAUGAAAUGGUCAAUUGUCACCUGCCGCAAACUCCCUCCACCAAGCAUGCUGUGCAGUACGGAAGGCGGGAGAUGCUUGCAUUUUGUUUAGAUUUUCUUUUUUUCUAGACUUUCUGUCCUUGAUUUGGUCAACAGGCCCUCUAGGCAGCUUUUGCUUAAGAAAAAUCAAUAUGUAUAAAUUGCAACCAGUAGGACAAAUUUGUUUAAAACGACUUUUUUUGGGUAAAACAAAUUACUGUACUCAAAAACAGUUCCUAAACAAAUUCAACAGCAUUUAAAAAUACACAGUUUUUUUAAAAAAUUUUAAAUUGAGAUAGACUUGGGUAAGUAUUUUUUGGGUUCUCAUCGGGCACUUUCUGCAUACUUUGAUUUUCUUCUUAUCUCCAGCAAGGCAAGAAGCUUGCUUUUUAAAAACCAAAAUGGCAGCUCCCAAACCUGAAAUUCUCAUGCUCUUCACUCUUCCCUGUACCACAUUGUGUGCUGAGGUGAAAUAGCAGCAGAGUUGAUGCCAUCUUGUGUGAGCCUAAAUUUGUUUAUUGGAAAUAGCAUCUCUUCCUGCUGUUUGCAGACAUGCACCCCACCCCACCCCCUGCCAUGGAUGUGCGAUUCUAGCUGUACUCGGAUCCAAAAUGUUAACCAGGAACAGUAUUUAAUUACCUAUUUAUUUUGCACACCAACAGUGGGAUGAGCAGUGACAAUUUGUACUGGUGGUGUGUAAAUCCUUUCAACAUUUAAUGUGGUGUAAUGCAGCCAAGGUAAAAAAGAAGACUGGCAGGUGGCCAUGCCUAGAAUCCAAGAGUUGGUUUGUGUAUUAAAGGCAUGGUUUGGGCAUUUGGGCAUCAUCUGGUGGUGUGGAUCAUGUGGUGGUGCCUGAUCAAAAAAAGCCUGAUACAUUUUUGAAUUAGGAGGCCUGGGUGCAUUUUUAAAAAGUAAUGUGCUUCUAGGCAAUCUAGAUUUCCUUUCUCUAUAAUUGAUGUAAAUUUGGCAAACUUUCCUGAUGUUUUGCAUAAUAUAUUCUGCAAUUUUUAUGGUUUCCCCCUCAAAUAAUUUUGUACUGCUAGUCAUGAGAGAAAGAGCAAGGAUAUGAUACUGAGACCUGAUCCUUAACCACUAGAAAUCUUACUUAGACUUCUGAGAUUUCAGGCUUCUGAGGUUUCAGUAGGUAUUGUCUGCACACUCUCAAGUAUAUCAUUUCACCCAUAUGGACUCAGAUAUUUUAAAAUAGUUGUUUUCAGCAGUAUCUCAGCUUUCAGUAAUUCCCCAGGCUCAGAAUGUGCUCAGAGGCACCCUGUUCUUUUAGGCAGAGGCCCUCCUGAAGCUCUUUCUUGAAUCAAGCUUCUUAUCUGUCUUUUGGGUUGUUCUCCUCUGCCCCCUCCCUGGCCAGAAACGAGAUGAGUUGGUUGGCGAGUCCUUCGCCAAGAAAUCUUGAGGAUUCUUGAGAGACGCCUGCUCUACCAGAUGGAUUCUUUGAUUAAUUGGAGGUGGUGGUAACUUGGAGGGGGGGGGGGGAAUUGAGUGACACCUUCCGACGUCAGAGCUGCAGUAGAGUUCAGAAUCUGAGUUGGAGGGUCAAGCAGAUACUUUCUCCAAGGCCGACUGAAAUGUGAUCACGUGUGUCUUGCUCAGGUUCAAAGCAGCGGGUCCCCUUCCUGUGUGUGUGUUGGUUUUUACUCUGCUGUGAUCCGAUACCUGCAGUAAAAGAAAACCCACCAGCCCUUAUCCCUGUUGCUAUGUUAGGGUCAGAUCUCAGGUUGAUUUGCUGCAGAUCCGGAAAAGGUUUCUGACAACCAGAUUGUUUUGACAACAGCAAUGCCAAAAUCGCUUCUUCCACCUAAACUAGGACUGCUGAAAUGAGGAAAGCUAACCAGGAGUGGAUGUUUGUGAAAUAAGGACUUCAUGAGCCAAUAUAUUGAUGAUGAUGAUGAUGAUGAUGAUGAUGAUGAUGAUUGAUUAUUAUUAUUAUAUUUAUUUUAAAUAAAACAUUUAUUCAAAAGUUAUAAUACAGUUACAAUACAUUUCCAAUCAAUAUAUCCCCUUGUAAAAUAUUUGUAUACUGCUAACCUUAACAGGUUAGAGAACUGGGUCAAAGCAAACAAGAUCAGUUUUAACAGGGAGAAAUGUAAAGUAGUACACUUGGGGGCAAAAAAAGAAAUGAAAGGCACAAAUACAGGAUGGGAGACACCUGGCUUGAGAGCAGUACAUGUGAAAAGGAUCUAGGAGUCCCGGUAGACCACAAACUUGACAUGAGUCAACAGUGUGAUGUAGCAGCUAAAAAAGCCAAUGCAAUUCUGGACUGCAUCAAUAGGAGUAUCGCAUCUAGAUCAAGGGAAGUAAUAGUACCACUGUAUUCUGCUCUGGUCAGACCUCACCUGGAGUACUGUGUCACAGUUUAAGAAGGAUACUGACAAGCUGGAACGUGUCCAGAAGAGGGCCACCAAAAUGGUCAAAGGCCUGGAAAUGAUGCCUUAUGAGGAACGGCUUAGGGAGCUGGGCAUGUUUAGCCUGGAGAAGAGAAGGUUAAGGGGUGAUAUGAUAGCCAUGUUCAAAUAUAUAAAAGGAUGUCAUAUAGAGGAGGGAGAAAGGUUGUUUUCUGCUGCUCCAGAGAAGCGGGCACGGAGCAAGGGAUUCAAACUACAAGAAAGAAGAUUCCACCUAAACAUUAGGAAGAACUUCCUGACAGUAAGAGCUGUUCGACAGUCGAAUUUGCUGCCAAGGAGUGAGGUGGAGUCUCCUUCUUUGGAGGUCUUUAAGCAGAGGCUUGACAGCCAUCUGUCAGGAAUGCUUUGAUGGUGUUUCCUGCUUGGCAGGGGGUUGGACUGGAUGGCCCUUGUGGUCUCUUCCAACUCUAUGAUUCUAUGAUUCUAUAUCAUUAAAAGUUUAUAAAAGUUCAGUUCUGGUACUGAAAGCAAAUUCCUGGUCUCAGCAUAUUCUCAGAGAAACCCUAUACUGUACUUUCAUUCUGUGUGUCACUUGCCCCCAGCUCUGGUUGGUAGGUCUUUGUGUUCUAGUAGAUCCAAGGAACUGAAGUCUGUCCUCCACUGCUGUUAGCCAGCUCCUUUAGGUUCUUCUUGUUCUUGUUUUUUUUUUUCUUUUGGGAGGUAUCCUGUGGCACUGGAACAUGGGAAGUUGCCUUAUACUGAGUCAGACUAUUGGUACGUGGCUCGGUAUUGUAGCUCGGUAUUGUCUACACUGACUGACAGGGGCACUCUUGUGGGAGAAACCAGCCCAAAUUUAUAAAUAGUGAACCCCAAGGGAGAGAGUGAGGAUUGAGAAAAAACGUCAAUAAUUUUAGAAUCAUUGAGGAGGAAGCUUGGGUGCCUUUUCUUUGGUGCCCUUUUACAACUGAGUUUUCCUUCCAUUAGGCUGUGCUGCAUGUUUUAAAACCAGUUGAUCAAAAUGCACACCAGUUCUGUUUUGUUUGCCACUUGCAUCUGAUGUGCACAUUCUCUGUCGCUGUCUGCAAAGAUGGGUGCUUAUGCUGCCCGUGGCUAAUGUUUUCAUGGGGCUUGGUGGCGGCAUGAAUUUCUUGCACACACAAACCCCACCUUGCAUCUUAUUUCAGUCUUGGGGACGCUUUAUUCGUCCUCCGGCAGCCAACACCCAUUUGCUAUUGUGUGUACAGUACAUGCAACAGGGAGGUGUUUCAAGCAGUUUUGACAUCCUGGCACAUGUACUUGCAGGGUACAUGUCUCUAUGAGAUCACGUCGCAGUGUGCACACAUUACAGUUUUAUGGAGAGCAAUAUAAUCUGUUUUAUGUGUAACCAUUAAAAAAGGUAAUAUUUGAAAUAGGCCUGCUAUACCAUUUGAAUGAACAGGAACAUAGGAAGCUACUUUGUCUGAUCCAUUUAGCUCAGUGCUGUCUACAUCUGGGGCAGACCUGUAGGGUUGUGCAUAUGUAUUCACUACCCUUGCUAAUCAUUCGUUCACCCCCACACUUUUAAGAUGCAUUUCCCUGUCACUUUCCUAACCGCAGAAAUCUGGAACACUGCAUAAAGAAAUGUUCUGUGCCCUUAGUAAUUUGGCUUUUCACAUCCUUCAUUGCUGGAUAAUAGACAGUUGUUCAGUUUCAGCAGAACUUAAUUAAGUGAUACAUGCAAGUAAGUGUGUGUGUGUGUGUUUGUGUGCACGUGCGCGCAGACACACAAACACACACCAUGAUCCCAGGGAGAAGCAGAAGCUUGAGGUGGCCUAGUUAGAACGCUGUGCAAAAUCCACUUUGUUGGUUUUCAGUUUUUAUUACAAGGAAUUGUUCCUGGAAGGAUCUUUUCCAUUUUUUUGAUAGUGCAAAAGCAAAAAGGAAAUUUUGGGUUGUAUCCAUUGUUAGUCAUACUUGGAAGUAGCAGUACAGACUCAUUGAAACUAAUGGGCAUGACUAUCUUAGGUCCAUUAAUUUCAAUGACUGUUCAUUGAGUUAGCCUAAAGUUUAAUACAGCCCUCAGUCAUUUAAUCAAACUAUUUGACAUAAACCACGCUGCUUUCAGAGAUGGUAUACAUCUGAUCUUAACGCUUAACUGUUGUUGCAACCAAGGAUUGCAACCUUUUUUGCUUAAUGUGGAGACCACCAGUGUUAUUUUAGCACUUGAGUGUUGGAGCAUGGUCCGUGCCUCAGCCUGUGUGCCAAAUAGCUAGGAUAAAAAAAAAAUCAGCUGCAUCCAAUAUAUUCCUGUCUCAGAGGUCCGUCAUGUAAUACAAUCCUACAAAUACUCCAUGCUUAGUAUUUGGCAUAGGAUUAAAGCGCAAGGCCAUUACUCUGCAUAAAACAACUGAACAGAUUAAUUGGCAUACAGGUUUAUGUCAGAAAUGCUGUCUGUCUGCCUAUUUUGGGUGAGGAAGACUUGAUCUAGAAGGAUCCCGAGCAGUACUAAGGGAUGCUAUGUGUCCUCAGGUGCCACUUGGAAUUAUUGGGAACUGGAUGCACUUGCAGAGAUCAGGCAGUGAGGGAGUGUAGCACAGAAGCACUGGGCAUGUUUGUGUGUCCUGCUAAACCAUGGUUUAGUGCUACAUGAGUACACUGGCCAGGGUUUGAAAUUAGCAGGGCGCCAGGCACAUUUUGCGCCUUAAGACUCUCCAUUUGCCAGCACCUCAAAAAGUCUGGGUGCCAUUUUUUGUGCCUGGCUGCCAUUCAAGCAUUACUGAAUUGAAUACGUGCUUUGAAGCCUCAAUGUGUAUGUUUAGACAAUAUGUUAAGGAGUUUAACAAUAAAGUGUAGUGUGUUUUGAAAACUGAAGUAUGGUACCAACGUUUUUAUUGUAAACACCAAAUUAAACAGGUAUUAACGAUUUCUGCUAAAUAAAGGUGAUAAUAACAAUGUGUCACUUAUGUGAAUUGCGUUCUAAUUCAUGCUCAUCAAAAUAAUAAAUAAAAAGUGUUGCUGACCGUCCCCUCCCCCAGUGGCAACUAGACAUUCUGUUUUGGCGCCCACAACCUAGGUCCCAGAAGCCACUUGGCUCCUAGCUUUUCUACCCCAGUUUCUAACACUGACGCUGUCUAUGUUUGCAUGCCAUGUUCCUCUUUUCCUUUUGUGUAGUUAGAAGCAGGUGUUGGAAAGCGUUCACUUUUAUUUUAACUUAACCGGUUUGGACCAUAGCAGUCAGGCUAUACCUGUCCUAGAAUGGGUGUAACUUGUGCAGCAGCAGUAGCUGGUAAAAGCCACUUUUGUGUCUGUAUUGGCAGUGGGGGAUCUAGGAGCACCCGCACCCAUACCCACCUGCUCAGAGACUCUGCACCUGCCCCUUCACAGAGAAUGCAGCCCUGUCCAGAUCAGGCCACUUCUGUAAUUGGUUGCCAGUUCUUCUUGGGGCCCAACAUUAUUGUUUAAACGACUUAGGCCCCAAAUAACUGAAAUAUAGGGACCCAGGUGGCACUGUGGGUUAAACCACAGAGUCUAGGGCUUGCUGAUCAGAAGGUUGGCGGUACGAAUCCCUGCAACGGGGUGAGCUCCCGUUGCUCGGUCCCAGCUCCUGCCAACCUAGCAGUUCGAAAGCAUGUCAAAGUGCAAGUAGAUAAAUAGGGACCGCUCCGGCGGGAAGGUAAACGGCGUUUCCAUCGCUGCUCUGGUUCGCCAGAAGCAGCUUUGUCAUGCUGGCCACAUGACCUGGAAGCUGUCUGCGGACAAACGCCGGCUCCCUCAGCCUAUAGAGCAAGAUGAGCGCCGCAACCCCAGAGUCGGACACGACUGGACCUGAUGGUCAGGGGGCCCUUUACCUUUACCUUUAACUGAAAUAUAGCCUCCUUCCUUAUUAGACCUUUCUCAACCCACCACAGCAUCCGGACACUGGUUCAGGACCUGCACAGCCCAUCCUGACUCAAAUACUACAGAUAAACAGAAAUCCAACUCAGUAUAUCAUUAAGAGUACAUGAAAGGGACAUACUGUACUGUGAACAAAGGAUAAGUUGGACGCUUAUGCGUGUGUUGCAUUUGAUUGAGCAAAGAGAUGUCCAAAGAGAGUAGGGAAAUGUGUCAUGUUGUUCCCUUAAAAGCAGGCUGUGGCAAUCCCUUUUGGCACACUCAUGUGAAAAUACAAUGCUGGGCAAUAAAAUACUUAAUAAAAUCUUUCCCUUUUUUUUAGGGGGUAGGGUUUCUAUCUUGAUGUUUGAAGAUGGCUUCCAAAGCGUGUAAAUUUUGAAUUUCUCUGCAUGCAGCAGUGAGCUGCAGAAUUUAUCUUAACCAAAACCAAAUGUACUAUACUGUACUUUCUUGAAACCUGAAGAUGUAUCCAGGUCUCCUUGAGACUUGAUGCAUUCUACAGGUGACAGUUACCUGGGGUCCUUUGCUGUAUGAGGCCUUUUGGAAUGUAUAGAAGCUGCACGAAACCCCAAAAUCUGUUUCAAGAACGCUUGUGCACGGAAAAUUCCAGGUUUAUUUUUUUUGCCCUGUAUUGUUUGGCACCUCCCAUCUAUAUGGUAUGUUCCUGCUCAUUUCUAAACACUUGGGAUAUCUUGAUGUUCUAAAGAUUAAGAGCAGAGCUGCUCCCAUUACACUAGCUAGUUUGAGCCAAAUGCAGGCUCUGGGAAUUAUAUGUAAAUGGAUUCAAAUCCAACAUUUUUAUAGCCAAUAAAAUUGGGGCCCUGCUAGUGCACCUUUCUGUGGGCCAAGAAAAUGGACCAGGAAGAGUAUAUAUAUAUAAAAAAGUCACACCCCAGAUAUACUCUUCAGAGUUUCACUUGCCCUUUCCUUCUCUCAGUUUAAGAAACUGUUUGCAAAACCUUGCAAAAAGAAUUUGCCAUUGACCCUGGUUCAGUGGUCCAUCUCAAGGUUAGUGUUAUCUGUCCAUGCCAUCCUCCCCACCCCCCACUGCCCAGUGCUACACUAAUGCCAGGUUGCUGCUGUGUCACUCACUCUCUCCCCUAUAUCCUAUGACAGGCAUAGGCAAACUCGGCCCUUCAGAUGUUUUGAGACUACAAUUCCCAUCAUCCCUGUUAGCUAGGGAUGAUGGGAGUUGUAGUCCCAAAACAUCUGGAGGGCCGAAUUCGCCUAUGCCUGUCCUAUGACUUGCCCACCAGAUCUAGUCACUCUCUCUGUUUGAAGAGGUAUAUAUCACAGCUUACUUCUGUCUUUUACACAUCAGGAAACGUUCUCUGAAAUGCAACAGAGUUCAGUCUUCAUCCACUGUUGCGGAUUUUCAUCUUGGUAUCUUUCAAUUGAGGGACCCAGGUGGCGCUGUGGUUAAACCACUGAGCCUAGGGCUUGCUGAUCAGAAGGUCGGCGGUUCGAAUCCCUGCAACGGGAUGAGCUCCCGUUGCUUGGUCCCAGCUCCUGCCAACCUAGCAGUUCGAAAGCACGUCAAAAUGCAAGUAGAUAAAUAGGUACCGCUACAGCGGGAAGGUAAACGGCGUUUCCAUGUGCUGCUCUGGUUCGCCAGAAGCGGCUUUGUCAUGCUGGCCACAUGACCUGGAAGCUAUACGCCGGCUCCCUCGGCCAAUAAUGCGAGAUGAGCGCGCAACCCCAGAGUCGGUCACGACUGGACCUAAUGGUCAGGGGUCCCUUUACCUUUACCUUAUCUUUCAAUUAGCUGGCAGUCAGAGGUACAAAGGUGGUCUGUGAACUGCUUUCAGGACUGCAGGUUUGAACUAUAUGGCAGUUCAUGUUUAGCAAAGUCAUUCUUAGCUUUGGAGCUCUGCUUUGAUGUAUAAUGCCAGCAUUAAAUUAGAUUGCCAAUGAGCUGUUCUGCCUUACAAGUAUGGCAGUAUGGAGACAUUUUGGGGUACUUGUUUUUGGAACAGACUUGGAGUAAUUUGCAAUCUAAUCAUCUGAAUGUGACCCACGCGUGGCUCAAUAAACUGAUGCAAACCUAUGUGGUUGAUGGGCUGUUUUUGGCUUCGUGGUCCAUACAUUUGUUCUGACCUGGUUUUGUAAUAGGAUCUGAAUGUGCAGUACAUUAUACCAGGUCUCAGGCAGCGGAUACAGAGCUAGGAAUUUAUUAAUAAGGAUAAAUUGCUCUUUUGAGGGGAUUUUCAAAAGAUAUGAAGCAAAAUUCUCUCCUCGGGGCAUCAAGCUGUGGAGAAGAUCCCAUCUUACAAAGAAAAGGCACUUUGCCUUUUGCUUGCUUUUAGAACUGCUGAUUCCAGUAGUAAAUUGAUACCCAAAGCUAACACAGUUCUGUCAUCUUAUCUGCCAUUGUUAUUGACACAGCAGUACCAUGUUGCAUAGAAGAGCCAUGAGGGAAAUUAAAACAAACAUUCAUCUCUCUUGUAGCGUAGGAUGGAAUGGGGGGUUGGGAAACACCCUCUCCCUUCUGAAGGUCGCCUUGGAAAUGUUUCACCAAAACUCUCCUGGCUUUCCCUCUGCUCUGUGAAUUUGCCCUUGUCUUGCCCUGUGCCUUAAUACACUGCUGUGCUUGCAUGGGGGUGCCAAUUGGUGAGAAGGUCUGGUGUCUGCAUGGCUGAGCAAACGUGGAAUCUACACCCUUUAGUGGAGGGGGGGCGUGUUUGCUGAAGUGGUGUUUGCAAGGUGCCCAGAAAUCUCUACCAAGCUGAGUGCAUUUUCACAAAAAGAAUUAAUUAUGCAAAAGUGCAUGCCAAGAACAACAUGGUUUUGGAAUUUAUGAGUCAUUAGCAAAGCAUAAUGACCAAAGCUUGAACUUAGUGUGCCACGGAGAGGGCAUUUAAAACAAUUAGGCAUUUAAACUCUGAGUCGUUAAUGGCAGCAGGCAGAAGCAGAAUCUGUAGAGGUUUUUUUUUUUUUUGUCAAUACUGCUUUUGGAUAAAAAGCAAUUUCGUCUACUUUCGCCAGACUGAACUUUGUAUGUGUUAUGUGAAUCAUGCAAAACACAACACUAGUUCUGGUGGAAUUUUCAUGCACAAGAGCGAUGAUUUCAUCCCCAAUAUAUUUGCUUGCAAGUCAGGCACUGCCCGUCAAAGGCAAAUGAACAUCAAGUCCAGUCAACAACAGACCCUGUGGCAUUCUUCAGCUAAAAGACAUGAGACAGUUAGAAGACUGAUGCCACCAUGUUUCUAGCUCUCAUGCCAUUGGUCCAUGGUCUGGUCCACUGUCACAGAUUGCUUUGUGUUAUUGAUGGAAUUGGCUAUGCUUUCUGCUGGGCAGAGUGCACUCAGAACUCCAGCAGCAGAAGCCCUCCUAAGUCAGAAAAAGGCAGAGCCUGCCUUCCACUCAUUGGCAGCUGUUUGCAUUUGUGCACAUGGAUCACAUGCCUAGUGCUCAUGAACAUAAGCAAGGAGGCCAUGUAUUCAUCUUCAGGUCUUGAAUUUUACUGGAUGGGAUGAUGUUGGAAUUAAUUAAGUGGUAACCACUUUUUUUUUUAAAAAAAGGAAGUGUCGAAAGAUAUUGAGUCCAAAGUGUAUAUAUUUACAUUCCACAUUUCUUCUGUCAUGGAAAUCCAGGGAGGUGUGCUGAGGGUUCCCAGGCCGUCCCUAUCUACGCUCUUGCCAGAUUCAGACUUGUUCAGUGUCAGCAAAGCUGUUGGUGUUACCAUGUGCCUUCAGGUCAUACCUGGGGCAAGCAUGAAUUAUGCCACUUCAGUCCACCAGAACUGAUUUUCUCAUUGAGGCUCUGACGUACUUACAGGUGAACCCAGGAUUCCCCAGAACACAGUUCGCAGUCUUACCACCCCAUAGCAAUUUCAGCAGGUGGUCUCUGGGUUAUUUAUUUCUCAAAAUUUAUAUACCACUUGAUAGUUGUUGUUUUUUUAAAAAACCCUUAUGAACCAGCAAACUUAAUCCCUACUUUUCCUUGAGCCAAGGGAUAUACAGUACUUUGUGGAGCUUUUCUUUUUCCUUUGAAAACUGAGGUCCACCCAGUAGUGUCAUGAGUACAGUACAGGGCAGAGCCAGAUUCAAAAUGGUGCUGAGGAAAUGGUGCCAAAUACCUACAGCACCUCAUGAGUCAUGCACUGGGAUGACGUACCUCUACAAGCACAAAUCUACAUCUGGGUUACUGUAGGUCACCUAAUUUAGGGGCCAGGGAAGCCUUUUUGUGUUGCUGCUGUUAAACCAGAGUCUAGAAACCCUUGCAGAUCUACCGCAUGAGGCAUCACGAUCUUGUGCAGGAGUUGCCAUCCUUUUGGGGCUCGAGGGCACAUCUGCAAACUGAAGAAACUGUUGUGGGCAGCACAGUUGAGUAUACCCCACUCUUAUUUUAUUAUUUUAAGAAGCCUCGCCAGAUUACAUGCUCAUUGUGUUGUGACUAUGUGUUAAGGCAGGCACCCCCAAUCUCCGGCCCUCCAGAUGUUUUGGACUACAAUUCCCAUAUUCCCUGACCACUGGUCCUGCUAGCUAGGGAUCAUGGGAGUUGUAGGCCAAAACAUCUGGAGGGCCGCAGUUUGGGGAUGCCUGUGUUAAGGUUAAAAGGCUGUGGGAUUUUAUUAUCUAAAUCAGACUUUUAGGUCUCUCUUGUUCCCCCUCCUGCCACUCUCCCCAAAAGCCUCCAAAAUAGUUUGUCUCUUUGGAUCAUUAUUUGCAAAGGAAAAGAUAGAAAAGGCUACUGCAAUGUUACCAUAGUUUCAGUGCAGGAUGUGGUUUCUAUGGUUACAAGUCACAAUGACAUAGACAGUGGAGAACUACCUCUUUUGGGUGAAUUUUAAAAUCUCAAUCUACUUUUUUUUCUACAAACAAACAAAACAGCAACACUAUAAUGUCCUGUUUGGAUAAUGACGGUAUUUUUUGUUUGGUCUCAAUACUUUCUCCUGGGAGUACUUUAAUCUGAAAAUGAGUCUUGUCAGAUUAAGUGGAGGUUGUCCAUGAGUUCAGCUGUCCCUUGAUCAGAUGUGAAACUGCUAGGGCAAAUUGCCACAGAUAUUUGCUCCAAGAAAAUCAGAAGUAAUUAUCUGGCUCUGUGAAAAUGUCCUUUGUGCUGCAACGAGACACAGAGUUAUGUAAACAGACAGACAGACAGACAGACAGACACAAGAGCUGACCAGCAUGUUCAGGAUCUUGUGUUGUGGACCUUUUCAGAUUAUUGCCACUUCAGAAGUGGGAGUCUGUCAUGGAAGGGGUGUGUGUGUGUGUGUGUGUGUGUGUGUGUGUGUGUGUGUGUGUGUAUGUUCUGUGCCUAGAGAGGGUGUUUUGUUUGUUUAAUGAUGGGGGGGGGACGACUCCCAACUUUUCACCAAUCAGCAUGGUUAUAAGUAAAAAUAGAGCAAGAACUUAUAAGAAGGUGUGCCAAAAGUGGCAUGGGAGUUUUAUUCAAGAAAUAAACUUUUUGGCUACAAACUAUAUGUAGAAUUGCAUUUAAAUGACAAUUAUUAUUAUAUUAUAAUGCAGAUGGUAUUGUACACCUACGGAGAGUAAGAGGACUGGGAAAGCAACAGAAUAAAUGUUCCUUCUGCUAAGAAAUAAAGGAAGAUGGUCUUCAUAUUUGGUGGCAAUGCUAGAAGACCAAAAGUUUUUGGUUAAUGGUUAGAGCCACAAUUUAAAGAACUCUUCCCGGUUAAUGUAAUUGCCAAUCAAUUGCAGCCCUUUUAAAAUUUUGUGCAAGGUACAGAAGUUCUUAAGAAGAUUCAGAUCCCAGUGUUGUUAACCCUAGCUAGAAUAUUAUAUACCAGGACUAGGAAGCAAAGUUGGUCCACCAAGUUAACAGGAAUUAAUCUGGAAAUCAUGAGAGCAGUCGGGAGUGAUUAAGCUAAAACCUCCAAUGAAGUAUUAAACAAAUGGAACCCGGUUAAGAAUACGGUAUGUUAAGAAAGAACAGGGAAUAGGAGGAAUUGUUGUUGUUAUAAGGGAUGCCUUGUAAACAUUUAAGUUACAUGUUCAAUGUGUCAAUGUGUAUUGAAUUCGGUAUCUUUUGGAUGAUGCACAAAGUUUUUAAAGGUUGUUUUUGUAAAUUGGUGGAAGCAUUACAAGCAUUUGUUUAAAAUACAUAUACUGUAUAAAAUAAAAGGAGAUGCCUGGUUCAAUCUCUGGUAUUUCUAGGUAGGGCUGGUAGAAAACUUCUGAAAUCUUGGAGUGUCUUCUAAUCAGUGUAGGCAAUACUAAGCUGGAUGAACCCAUGGUAAUGGUAAUGGUAAAGGACCCCUGGAUGGUUAAGUCCAAUCAAAGGUGACUGAGGUUGUAGUGCUUAUCUUGCUUUUCAGGCCGAGGGAGCCAGUAUUUGUCCACAGACAGCUUUCCAGAUCAUGUGGCUGGCAUGACUAAACCACUUCUGGCACAAUGGGACACUGUGACGAGUGCCACAGUGCAUGGAAAUGCCGUUUACCUUUCCACCACAGUGCUAGCUAUUUAUCUACUUGAACUUUUUGGUGUGCUUUCAAAACUGCUAGGUUGGCAGGAGCAGGGACCGAACAAUGGGAGCUCACCCUGUUGUGGGGAUUCAAACCGCCAAACUUCCAAUCGGCGAGCCCAAGAGGCUCAGUGGUUUAGACCACUGACUCAAUACAAGGCAGCUUCCUACAUUUCUAGUUUCCAGAGCACUCUAGAUUGGAUUACUGUAAUGUGCGCUGUGGGGGGUUGCAGUUAGUGGAAAAUGCUAAACAGGAGUAACAGUCACUCUUGGUGCAAAAACUGCUAAUUUUUGCUGGGGUUAAGUUUCCUAAACAGGCAUAAAGUUUGAGAAUGUUAGUACAGUAUUGGGUACAGUAUUUGAAGGUGGGAGAAGUGUGGUGAACUGGAUUCAUGUUGUCACCAAGAUCCUCAGGUGGCAACCAGCAAUUUCCACGAAUUUCUGCUUUUGAAUGGGAAACAUGACACAUAAUUGUGAUUUAGAUUGGUGAUGUUCUGUUUCUUACAGAACCGGGAAUAUGGUGUGCAGCUAAGCCAAUUGUGCAUGUAAUAUGGAGCAGUGAUUUGGAUCGGCACUGCUGGCUGUGCUUUUGAACAAGGAACACAGUGUGCAAUUACGCCAAUUAUGCAUGCGGUGUGCAACAGUUUUUCAGAUCCGUGUUGCUUGUCUGUGCCUUGGAAAGAGGGAACGUGAUGCACAGCUGAGUGAUAGUGAUUUCGAUCUGUACUGCUGGUUUUGCUUUCAAAUGUGGAACAUCAUGAAGUGUGAAUCAAAUUGCAGCAGGUCCUUUGUGCCCCCCAAUACAUUCCGACCUGUGCAUGUGAAUUAGGCCUCAGAACAUGUACAGGGAUUAUGCAGCAAUUUACUUACUUACUUACUCAUUCAUUCACUCACUCAUUCAUAAAAUAAAAAAAAUCCUUCCAGUAACACCUUAGAGACCAACUAAGUUUGCUAUCGGUAUGAGCUUUCGUGUGCAUGCACACUUCUUCAGAUACACUGAAACAGAAGUCACCAGACCCUUAUAUAUAGUGAGAGGGUAGGGAGGGGUAUUACUCAGAAGGGUGGUGGGAAUGGGUGAUUGGCUGAUAGGUGUGAUAAUCCUGCUGACGACUGCAAUUGGUUUUACAGGAAAAAGCAAGGGGUGAGAUGGCUAAAAGUAGCUUUAUAAUGUGUAAUGAGAUAAGAAUCCAAUGUCUCUAUUUAGACCAGGUCUCUCCAUGGUUUUAAGUUUGGUAAUAAGUUGCAAUUCAGCAACUUCUCUUUCCAGUCUAUUUCUGAAAUUCUUUUGUAAUAAGACUUUGAGAUCUUGUAUAGAAUGUCCUGGGAGAUUGAAGUGUUCUCCUACUGGUUUCUCUGUCUUGUGGUUCCUGAUGUCAGAUUUAUGUCCAUUUAUCCUAGUGUUUGGCCUGUUUGUCCAAUAUAGAGAGCUGAAGGGCACUGUUGGCAUUUGAUGGCAUACACAAUGUUAGAAGAUGAGCAAUUAAAUAGUCCUGUUGCUGUUGUUGGGGCCAGUAGUGGUAUUGUCCGGGUGUAUGUGGCAGCAAAGUCGGCAUCUGGGUUUAUUGCAGGCUCUGGUACCAGUGUCCAUGUUAAGUCUGGUGGUUGUAUUAUUGUGGGUGAUGAGUUGUUCAAUAUUGGGUGGCUGCCUGUAGGCAAUGAAAGGUCUUCCUCUCAGAGCUUGAGAAAGAGAGCCGUCAUUGUCUAGGAGAUGUUGUAGAUCUCUGAU
This is a non-coding RNA of Zootoca vivipara (common lizard), 24371 nucleotides long. The record is from RefSeq and is a predicted model, not a curated record. NCBI's taxonomy places the organism in Eukaryota, Metazoa, Chordata, Lepidosauria, Squamata, Lacertidae.